Molecule: ribosomal RNA, 406 nt
Filed under: uncultured bacterium
Lineage: Bacteria
Description: partial 16S ribosomal RNA
Rfam family: Bacterial small subunit ribosomal RNA
Source: RNAcentral
GACGAACGCUGGCGGCGUGCUUAACACAUGCAAGUCGAACGAGUGGCGGACGGGUGAGUAAUGUCUGGGAAACUGCCUGAUGGAGGGGGAUAACUACUGGAAACGGUAGCUAAUACCGCAUACCAUCAGAUGUGCCCAGAUGGGAUUAGCUAGUAGGUGGGGUAACGGCUCACCUAGGCGACGAUCCCUAGCUGGUCUGAGAGGAUGACCAGCCACACUGGAACGGAGACACGGCCCAGACUCCUACGGGAGGCAGCAGUGGGGAAUUUUGGACAAUGGGCGCAAGCCUGAUCCAGCCAUGCCGCGUGUCUGAAGAAGGCCUUCGGGUUGUAAAGGACUUUUGUUAGGGAAGCGGUACCUAAAGAAUAAGCACCGGCUAACUACGUGCCAGCAGCCGCGGUAAUAC